AUUGAACGCUGGCGGCAGGCCUAACACAUGCAAGUCGAACGAGUGGCGGACGGGUGAGUAAUGUCUGGGAAACUGCCUGAUGGAGGGGGAUAACUCCUGGAAACGGUAGCUAAUACCGCAUACCAUCAGCUGUGCCCAGCGUGGAGUAGCUUGUUGGUGGGUUGACUGCUAACCAGGGCGACGAGCCCUAGCUGGUCUGAGAGGAUGACCAGCCACACGGGACCUGAGACACGGUCCAGACUCCUACGGGCGGCAGCAGUGGGGAAUCUUGCACAAUGGGCGCAAGCCUGAUGCAGCCAGGCCGCGUGUAUGAGGAAGGCCUUCGGAUCGUAAAGUACUUUCAGCGGGGAGGCGGUACCCGCAGAAGAAGCACCGGCUAACUCCGUGCCAGCAGCCGCGGUAAUAC
RNAcentral lists this ribosomal RNA (406 nucleotides) under uncultured bacterium. RNAcentral's name for it is "partial 16S ribosomal RNA". It matches the Rfam family "Bacterial small subunit ribosomal RNA", at positions 29 to 526 of the family's 1533-position model. The record is from RNAcentral.